RNAcentral lists this ribosomal RNA (301 nucleotides) under uncultured bacterium. RNAcentral's name for it is "partial 16S ribosomal RNA". It matches the Rfam family "Bacterial small subunit ribosomal RNA", at positions 509 to 808 of the family's 1533-position model. The record is from RNAcentral.
CAGCCGCCGCGGUAAUACGAACCGUGCGAACGUUAUUCGGAAUUACUGGGCUUAAAGCGCGCGUAGGCGACUCGGCACGUCGGACGUUGAAAGCCCCCGGCUCAACCGGGGAAGUGGCGCCGAUACGGCCGAGCUGGAGGGAGGUAGGGGGGUCUGGAACUUCCGGUGGAGCGGUGAAAUUCGUAGAUAUUCGGAAGAACACCAGUGGCGAAGGCGACACACUGGCUCAUUACUGACGCUGAGGCGCGAAAGCGUGGGGAGCAAACAGGAUUAGAUACCCCCGUAGUCCCUGUCUCUUAUA